GGAACAGAGGAGAAAGCAGGAUUUGGGCCCGAGGCUUGAUUGAUCAUCUCCGAUGUCUGAGCUCUGCGUCCGUUCAGCCUCCACCUUGUGCUUCUCCUCAGGGUCUCGGCAACAACACGCACCAAAGGAUAAACAGUCAGAAGGUGAAGGGGGAAAAUAUUCUUCAAACGCUGUUGCUGAAUGUGUCAGUAUUUGAGAGUCAGCACAGCAGCACUCGCUCGGAGAGGGAAAUAAUUGGCUGCACUGUGCAAAGGCAUACACGUCAGUCUUCCUCGGUGCAGCCAUGGAUGUGAUAAUACAUAUGAAUUUUGCAUCUUUCAACACUGGCUCUGUUUAGAUGUCAUCGUGCAAGCAAUAAAUAUCCCUUCAUGAAA
Molecule: long non-coding RNA, 374 nt
Organism: Scatophagus argus
Lineage: Eukaryota; Metazoa; Chordata; Actinopteri; Scatophagidae
Exons: 2
Source: RefSeq, a predicted model, not a curated record